Molecule: RNA transcript, 916 nt
Organism: Brassica napus (rape)
Lineage: Eukaryota; Viridiplantae; Streptophyta; Magnoliopsida; Brassicales; Brassicaceae
Gene name: hydrophobic protein RCI2A
Exons: 4
Source: RefSeq, a predicted model, not a curated record
AUAUAGUGCGAGAUAAAUGAAGGCGAGAGUAAACAAGAAAACACAGAACACACACAUAUUGAAGCUUUAACAAUUUUCACAGAAACUUCAAAAGAGCUUAAACGAGAAUGGGAACAGCUACUUUCAUAGAUAUUCUUCUUGCUAUCCUCUUGCCUCCUCUUGGCGUCUUUCUCAGAUAUGGUUGCGGGGUUGAGUUUUGGAUAUGUUUGGUAUUGACGCUGCUUGGGUAUCUUCCUGGGAUCCUCUACGCCCUUUAUGUCCUCACCAAAUGAUCAUGAACCUCCAUCUAUCCUCUCUUCAUGUAUCCUCAUCUCCUUGAACAACAGGCAUUUUGAACACGAUCUGGUCUAGUCUAUAAGCAUAUUAGUUAUGCCGGAUCCUUAGCAGCAGGCGGCAGACUACAACUACAUGAAAAAAAUUCAAUAGAAAAUGCAAAAAGUGAUCUUCCUCCAGAAUUAGAUCUGCCCGGUUCUACAACUUAACCAAGCUCCUGGUUUAUUUAAUUGGUUCAAUUAGUUUCUCUAAGAUUUGACAAAACAAAACUGAAAAUAUUGGGCCUAUGUUAGGCCUGCUGUAAUAGUUAAUUUAUUCGUCAAAACUAAAAACGUUGGGCCUAUAUUGGGCUUUCUGUAAUAGUUGAUCUAUUUUUCUAAUGGUCUAAAUUGAGUACCCCAUUGGAAAAGAAAAGACAACAUUGUGAAAAAAUGCAUAUCAAAUGCAAGUCGUCAAAAUAAUUAUGUUCUAUAAUUAAUUUACACAUAUCGGUUAUAUCACUUUUAAGUAAUAUAUAUUUUGUUUUAAAAAAAGAAGAAGAAGUAAUGAAUACUUUAACAAUCUGUCAUAUAUGUAUAUUGUCUUUACAGUCAUCAUCACCUUUUUUUUUUAACACAUCAGUCGUAGUCAUCCAUAUCACAUA